AAUUCUUGAGAGUUCGCGCCUUUUUAUUUCUUUUUUCUUUUUUUCUCCUUCUUCCUUUGCACUCUAUACCCGUGACCUAGGGAUUUGGAAGUACCACAGGUAAGUUUAUCAUCUUCGACAACCCCACCUGUUUCUGGUUUCCUAGUUGAGUUUUAAAAAACUCUUGAACAAUUGGUUGCAUCUCGGGGAAGACGGUGGAGUUUUCUCGCGAUAUGUCAGCAUCAAAGGUCACAUGGAAGGGAAUAAUAAGUCGACCCAUUCAAGUUGCAAGGAACCCCAAAACUACCACAGGAAUGGGGUGGGAUGAAAUCACAGGUAGGUGGCUUCGACGAAAGUGAAGAUGAUGGGGUCUAACCAAGGCUCCUAAGUUUCCGCAACGAUACGCCCACGAGCAAGGAGCUGGACGGUGUAUGCUCACCAGCAUUUCCGUCUCUCGUCUCUUGAUUUGCAGGUAGCCAACCUCGCUCUGUGCCUUUGGGUUUUGACUCUAGAAUUACGAGGGUGUCACGAGUUUUCAACGGUGGGGACAGAUUGAUACCUGCAGCAGCAUCUUUCGUUCUUAAGGGUGAUGCGCAUGUUGAGAAGGUUGGAGAAUGAGGGAGGGCUGUCGUACUUUUAUCUUUGAUUGCAACUUGGUCGGGCGAGAUUCCCAGAGCCGUGGAGGCGUAGCAGUUUUGGGUGGUACAUGGGUAUGUACAUGUUGGAAGGCCUGCCGAGAACAAACACGAAGGGUCAGCACUGGAUUCUCAUGAAAUUCUCAAGGUUCACGAUUUUAGAAGCGUGGCAACUGCUGCCAAAUUCCCUCUUCGCGGAUCAGUCUGGGUGCACGUCCAUGGCAGCACUCUGUGCAGGAGGGUACUGGUAGCGAUACACUGUAUUUAGAUUGCGCUCCGCGUAUCAAAUGUCUUCUACGAACAGGCUUUAAGGGAGGCAAGUCACUGAUCCGUGUACCCCGGAAUUUCAGUGUAGUCAGUGUUUCUCAUGCUGAUUCAUAGUCUCCAUACAUAUCUGUUGGUAUCAAAACGGGGCUAAUGAUCAAGAAGGCAAGUAAUUAUCUCAGGAGGUAGCACACGUCUCUGCCGAAGUCACA
Non-coding RNA from Physcomitrium patens, 1090 nucleotides. Lineage: Eukaryota; Viridiplantae; Streptophyta; Bryopsida; Funariales; Funariaceae. The record is from RefSeq and is a predicted model, not a curated record.